UGACUUAAGCAUAUCAAUAAGCGGAGGAAAAGAGAGACAACAGGGAUGCCCCAGUAACGGCGAGUGAAGCGGCAGGAGCUCAAAUUUGAAAUCUGGGGUCGCGAGGCCUCCGAGUUGUAAUUUGGAGAGGCAUCUCCCGGGGGGAACGCCGGCCCAUGUUCCUCGGAACAGGACGUCACAGAGGGUGAGAAUCCCGUGCCAGGCCGGCUGCCUCCUCUCGGGUGGAGGGCCUUCGACGAGUCGAGUUGUUUGGGAAUGCAGCUCCAACUGGGUGGUAAAUUUCAUCUAAAGCUAAAUACCGGCGGGAGACCGAUAGCGCACAAGUAGAGUGAUCGAAAGAUGAAAAGCACUUUGAAAAUAGAGUCAAAAAGUACGUGAAAUUGUUGAAAGGGAAGCGCUUGAGACCAGACUCGGGCCCCGGGCAAACAUCGCGCCCCUCGGGGCCGUGCAAUUGCCCGGGCCCGGGCCAGCAUCAGUAGGCCCGGCGGGACAAAGGCGUGGGGAAUGUGGCUCCCCUCGGGGAGUGUUAUUAGGCCCGCGCUCAAUGCCGCCGGCGCCGACUGAGGACCGCGCCCCGGCUAGGAUGCUGGCUUAAUGGCCUUCAGCGACCCGUCUUGAAACACGGACCAAGGAGUCUAACAUCUAUGCGAGUGUUUGGGCGCCAAACCCUUGCGCGUAAUGAAAGUGAGCGGAGGUGGGAACCCCCCAGCGGGGCGCACCAUCGACCGAUCCUGAUGUCUUCGGAUGGAUUUGAGUAGGAGCAUAGCUGUUGGGACCCGAAAGAUGGUGAACUAUGCCUGAAUAGGGUGAAGCCAGAGGAAACUCUGGUGGAGGCUCGCAGCGGUUCUGACGUGCAAAUCGAUCGUCAAAUUUGGGUAUAGGGGCGAAAGACUAAUCGAACCAUCUAGUAGCUGGUUCCUGCCGAAUUCCCCCUCAGGAA
RNAcentral lists this ribosomal RNA (940 nucleotides) under Helvella sp. QZ-2017d. RNAcentral's name for it is "eukaryotic LSU rRNA". It matches the Rfam family "Eukaryotic large subunit ribosomal RNA", at positions 30 to 979 of the family's 3401-position model. The record is from RNAcentral. Lineage: Eukaryota; Fungi; Ascomycota; Pezizomycetes; Pezizales; Helvellaceae.